Molecule: long non-coding RNA, 235 nt
Filed under: Vigna radiata
Lineage: Eukaryota; Viridiplantae; Streptophyta; Magnoliopsida; Fabales; Fabaceae
Description: long non-coding RNA (VRAD_LNC006122)
Source: RNAcentral
UGGGGAAUGUUGGGAUCCCUAGGGCCAUGUGUCCUCCUUUAAGGAUGGGUGGGGUCCACCCUAAAAUAAAAGAAAACCCUAGGGUGACAAGUGUUGAGCACAUCAUAAUUUUUUAACAAUAACCCAAUGCAAAAGUUUGUCUAAAAAGUUUAAACAAUUAAAAUUAUAAUACAACUAAAAUUUAAAAUGUCUAAUUUGAGAGUCUUGAAUUUAUUUUGUCUCCUCCAAAUGUCCC